GGGCUGGAGGUGACAGAAAAGUUACCCCAGGAAUAAUUGGCUUGUCGCGGGCGAGAGUUCACAUCGACCUCGCGGCUUGGUACGCCGUCGUCGUCCCUUCCCAUCCUGGCGGUGCAUAAGCCGCCAAGGGUGAGUCUGCUCGCCUAUUAAAGGGGAAUGCGAGAUGGGUUUAGACCGUCGUGAGACAGGUCGGACUCUACCUGCUGGGGGGGUUGGCCGCCUGAGGGGAUCACGUCCUCAGUACGAAAGGAACGGGGCGUGGCGGCCUCUGGUGAACCAGCUGUCCGGUAGGGCAAGCUGGGCAGCUACGCCGCCGGGGAUAAGGGCUGAAGGCAUCUAAGCCCGAAGCUCCUCCCGAAAAUAGGCGGCCAAUCCUAGGCGCAGAAACCUGGCGACAGGUUUCAUGCCUAGGACGAAGGCUGGGGUGGAACACCCCGUUGAUGGGGUGGAGGUGUAAGCCGGAAGAUCUUCGGAUCGACUGGUUCAGCCUGCCACUCCCAAUCGCCUGAGGUGCUGGGUUG
RNAcentral lists this ribosomal RNA (521 nucleotides) under Candidatus Bathyarchaeota archaeon. Its description in RNAcentral is "partial 23S ribosomal RNA". It matches the Rfam family "Archaeal large subunit ribosomal RNA", at positions 2511 to 2987 of the family's 2987-position model. The record is from RNAcentral. Lineage: Archaea; Thermoproteati; Candidatus Bathyarchaeota.